AAAGAGGAAGAGGGAGACAGAGAGAGACAGAAAGAGGAAGAGGGAGACAGAGAGAGACAGAAAGAGGAAGAGGGAGACAGAGAGAGAGGGGGGGUAAAUAACAGUAAACUGUUUCACCACUCCAGUCUACUCUACGGCUUCAGUCUCAGUCCAGGUCUGGAAGGUGGUGAAAUGUUUGGUGGAAAAGCAUUUCACUGGAAGUCCUUCACGGAAGAGGAGACUCUCAUCCAUACACAUUCAGCUCAUUUAGGAUUCUGGAGACUCAACCGCCGUGGGCGGGACGUCAUGCUGUUGAUUGAUGGGAUGCCUGAACGUCAGCGUCCAACCAGAGUCCCUGGAGCCUCAGAGAACGUCUCUGUCUGUGUUGUCCCCUCCUGAGAUAGACAGGGCGGUUCUGAAGAGGAAGAUGUUCGGCCCAGUUCCUUCGAGACCUCUAGAUAUACGCAACCCUGUGACCCAAACUCCUUCCAGCCCCAGACAGAGCCUGUAGAUCUGUCAACCAGCCGCUCCAGGACUUCUCCAACAUCCACAUGGUUCUCUCUGUGCCCCCUACCGUCCACCUCCAUCACCAGGCCUUCAUCAUCCUCCUCCUCCUCUGUCAUUACGUGUGUCCCGAAGAGUCCUGCUAUAUCAGGUCCCGGCAGGAGAGGCCUUUGGGGUUUUGUCAGAGGGUACCUCGUCACACCCCUCUCCUCCAGCCCUGCCCCUCUUCAUGCCCACCGUACGCCCGUAGUGGUGCGGCCCACACCCCUGCUCUACACCCACCCAGCACACAGCAGAACCCUGGCGGUAACCCGACGUCCACAUCACCGUGGUGACGGCCAGGACGAUGAGCUGCCAACCAUGAGACUGGACAGUGUGACAGAGAUGUGACAGGCUGUAACCAGACUGGGUCAUGAGUGAGUACCGAGAUGGGACGGGCUGUAACCAGACUGGGUCAGGGCUGACUACAGAGAUGGGACGGGCUGUAACCAGACUGGGUCAUGAGGGACUACAGAGAUGGGACGGGCUGUAACCAGACUGGGUCAUGAGUAAAUACAGAGAUGGGACGGGCUGUAACCAGACUGGGUCAUGAGUAAAUACAGAGAUGGGACGGGCUGUAACCAGACUGGGUCAUGAGUAAAUACAGAGAUGGGACGGGCUGUAACCAGACUGGGUCAUGAGUAAAUACAGAGAUGGGACGGGCUGUAACCAGACUGGGUCAUGAGUAAAUACAGAGAUGGGACGGGCUGUAACCAGACUGGGUCAUGAGGGACUACAGAGAUGGGAAGGGCUGUAACCAGACUGGGUCAUGAGUGAGUACAGAGAUGGGAAGGGCUGUAACCAGACUGGGUCAGGGCUGACUACAGUAGUCUUCCAUUCCACCUCUUCACUCCAUCUAGUGGCAAAAGAAGAGACCGUCAGAAAAUACCAUUUAAAUGUAUUGAAACAGUCUGGAUUUGUCCAAUAGGAGACAGCAACACAGUUCAUUGAUAAAUAGCAGGAUAAAAUGGGAUACAACGUGGUGUAAUGAUUGAUUGACUGAUUGAUUGAUUGAUUGAUUAACUGACUGAUUGAUUGAUUGACUGACUGACUGACAUAUUGAUUGAUUGACUGACUGAUUGAUUGAUUGACUGACUGACUGACAUAUUGAUUGAUUGACUGACUGACUGACUGACUGACUGACUGACUGAUUGACUGACUGACUGAUUGAUUGAUUAACUGAUUGAUUGAUUCAUUGACUGACUGAUUGAUUGACUGAUUGACUGAUUGAUUCAUUGACUGAUUGAUUGAUUCAUUGACUGACUGACUGACUGACUGAUUGAUUGAUUGUUGCAGCUCCAUCUUAGCCGGUGGUAUCCAGAGCAUGAGAGUAGGUCAUGUGACCAGGUCAGGGGGCGUGUCCACAGGUGUGAGUUUUACGGCUGUAACAAGGAGUACACCAAGAGUUCCCACCUCAAGGCCCACAGACGCACACACACAGGUGAGAAGCCGUACAAGUGCACGUGGGACGGGUGUACCUGGCGUUUUGCCCGUUCUGACGAGUUGACCCGCCACUACAGGAAACACACGGGGGUGAAGCCCUUCAGGUGUGGCGACUGCGAACGCUCCUUUUCCCGCUCAGAUCACCUGGC
Salmo salar (Atlantic salmon) is the source of this 2114-nucleotide non-coding RNA. Lineage: Eukaryota; Metazoa; Chordata; Actinopteri; Salmoniformes; Salmonidae. The record is from RefSeq and is a predicted model, not a curated record.